GGCAACGUGGCAGAGUGGUUAACGCGUGCGACUAGAAAUAUACAUGAUAUGUUAUCUUGCAAUCGCAUCCCUUCGGGGUCACAGGUUCGAGUCCUGUCGUUGUCG
Non-coding RNA from Xylaria curta, 105 nucleotides. The record is from the annotation of a GenBank genome assembly. Lineage: Eukaryota; Fungi; Ascomycota; Sordariomycetes; Xylariales; Xylariaceae.